GUGCCAGCAGCCGCGGUAAUACGGAGGGGGCUAGCGUUGUUCGGAAUUACUGGGCGUAAAGCGCACGUAGGCGGACUGGAAAGUCAGGGGUGAAAUCCCGGGGCUCAACCCCGGAACUGCCUUUGAAACUCCCAGUCUUGAGGUCGAGAGAGGUGAGUGGAAUUCCGAGUGUAGAGGUGAAAUUCGUAGAUAUUCGGAGGAACACCAGUGGCGAAGGCGGCUCACUGGCUCGAUACUGACGCUGAGGUGCGAAAGCGUGGGGAGCAAACAGGAUUAGAUACCCCUGUAGUCC
This 292-nucleotide ribosomal RNA is filed under the name uncultured bacterium. Its description in RNAcentral is "partial 16S ribosomal RNA". It matches the Rfam family "Bacterial small subunit ribosomal RNA", at positions 505 to 796 of the family's 1533-position model. The record is from RNAcentral.